RNAcentral lists this long non-coding RNA (549 nucleotides) under Capra hircus (goat). RNAcentral's name for it is "lncRNA (ENSCHIG00010023534.1)". Lineage: Eukaryota; Metazoa; Chordata; Mammalia; Artiodactyla; Bovidae. The record is from RNAcentral.
CCCGGAGCCCCGCGCGGGGCACUGGUGGGGACUCGGGGGGCCCAGCCAUCCCCAGCAGCAGCGCCCCGAGUCCCCGCCCGCCCGCCGGCUCCUCACCUAUCAGAUUUCCUGUGCGCACCGCGCGCCGCUCCUCCCACCUCCUAAAGGCCAGCGCAGGGGACCGCCGCGCUCCGUCAGGACCCAGCUACUCAAGGGACGGCGCAAUGCGGCUCUGAGCUCGGCCAGCUGCACGGCCCCGCGCAGGGAGUGCGGGGCGCACGAUUCCUGCCUCUGCCUGUGGGCCUCCCUGGAGCAGCAAUCCUGAGCAUCCUCAGGGCUUCCCGAGGAAGAGAAUCAUCAUUUUCCGGCAAACAAACCAAGCCCAAGACCUAACUGUGCUGAAUGACAUAUGCUGACAGCUCUUGGAAUCUACCCUUUGACUUAGCUUUCAAACAAGAGGUUCAUCUUACCCAGGAAAAGGGUGAGUUAUUUGCUUUCUCAAUGUUAUAAUGCUGACGUGGAUGAUCCUGGAUUUGUGGAGAAUAAAAGAGAUAGGUGAGCAAAAGAACA